Artibeus jamaicensis (Jamaican fruit-eating bat) is the source of this 192-nucleotide small nuclear RNA. RefSeq annotates it as U2 spliceosomal RNA. NCBI's taxonomy places the organism in Eukaryota, Metazoa, Chordata, Mammalia, Chiroptera, Phyllostomidae. The record is from RefSeq and is a predicted model, not a curated record. The transcript has a single exon.
AUCGCUUCUCGGCCUUGUGGCUAAGACCAAGUGUAGUAUCUGUUUUUAUCCGUUUAAUAUCUGAUACGUCUUCUAUCUGAGGAUGAUACAUUAAAUGGAUUAUUGGGAACUAGGAAAUGGAAUAGGAGCUCGUUCUGUCUACUCCAUACAUUAACCUGGUAUUGCAGUACUUCCAGGAACAGUGCACCAAAC